Molecule: long non-coding RNA, 504 nt
Organism: Condylura cristata (star-nosed mole)
Lineage: Eukaryota; Metazoa; Chordata; Mammalia; Eulipotyphla; Talpidae
Exons: 3
Source: RefSeq, a predicted model, not a curated record
AGGAGUUAGCUUGCGCGUUCAGAAAGUUGCUAGGCACCGCAGUCUAGCUAGCAACCGCCUGGACGUGAGUCACACUCGGGCUUAGUCAACCAUGAAGAUACGUUCAGGGAAACGAUGCCUAGUUAAUUGGGCGUCACCCCCUCUACUGCUGCGAGCGUCACCCUAGACAGUCGCUCAGUGAAGUCGCCAGCCCCCAGCGGCGGGCAGGGAGGUGAGAAACCAGCCGCGCGGCGGUGACUGAGGUGUCCCGGCGCCCGCUGCGUCCGGCGCGGAGCCUCACGCCACGGGACUCCCUGACGCUCGCACUGCUGAGGAGAAAUACCUGAAGAGGUAUGCACAGGCUUCACCCUGCACCAUGCUGCAGAGCCCUGCAGUCUCACCUUUUGUCUCCCUAGGAGGACAGUGCCUCCUCCCAACCCCGGCCUUUUUGGGAAUCCGAUACAGAGCAGCUGAGAAAUACAUUAUGUUGCUGAGGCUGAAGACGAUGCAUAGAAGCAUGGCUCC